This 504-nucleotide ribosomal RNA is filed under the name uncultured bacterium. Its description in RNAcentral is "bacterial SSU rRNA". It matches the Rfam family "Bacterial small subunit ribosomal RNA", at positions 19 to 518 of the family's 1533-position model. The record is from RNAcentral.
AUGGCUCAGGAUGAACGCUGGCGGCGUGCCUAAUACAUGCAAGUCGAACGAGGUAGCAAUACCGAGUGGCGAACGGGUGAGUAACACGUAGGUAACCUGCCCUUAAGCUUGGGAUACCCAGAGGAAACUUGGCUAAUACCGGAUAACAACAGAGAAGGCAUCUUCUUUGCUUGAAAGGCCCCUUCAAGGGUCACUUAAGGAUGGACCUGCGGCGCAUUAGCUAGUUGGUGAGAUAACAGCCCACCAAGGCGAGGAUGCGUAGCCGAACUGAGAGGUUGAUCGGCCACAUUGGAACUGAGACACGGUCCAAACUCCUACGGGAGGCAGCAGUAAGGAGUUUUCGGCAAUGGGGGAAACCCUGACCGAGCAACGCCGCGUGAGCGAUGACGGCCCUAUGGGUUGUAAAAAGCUCUGUUGUAAGCCAUGAAUGAUAGCUUGAGGAAAUGCAAGCUAUUUGACGACAGCUUACCAGAAAGCCACGGCUAACUACGUGCCAGCAGCGGC